UGGGGAAUAUUGCACAAUGGGGGAAACCCUGAUGCAGCGACGCCGCGUGAGCGAUGAAGGCUUUCGAGUCGUAAAGCUCUGUCCUAUGGGAAGAUAAUGACGGUACCAUAGAAGAAAGCCCCGGCUAAUUACGUGCCAGCAGCCGCGGUAAUACGUAAGGGGCGAGCGUUGUCCGGAAUUAUUGGGCGUAAAGAGUGCGUAGGCGGCAAAUUAAGUCAGAUGUGAAAACUAAGGGCUCAACCCAUAGAUUGCAUCUGAAACUGAUAUGCUUGAGUCAAGGAGAGGAAAGUGGAAUUCCUAGUGUAGCGGUGGAAUGCGUAGAUAUUAGGAGGAAUACCGGUGGCGAAGGCGGCCUUCUGGGCCACGACUGACGCUGAGGCGCGAAAGCUAGGGGAGCGAACAGG
Molecule: ribosomal RNA, 404 nt
Filed under: Verrucomicrobiota bacterium
Lineage: Bacteria; Pseudomonadati; Verrucomicrobiota
Description: Verrucomicrobia bacterium partial 16S ribosomal RNA
Rfam family: Bacterial small subunit ribosomal RNA
Source: RNAcentral